Molecule: ribosomal RNA, 979 nt
Filed under: Enterococcus faecium
Lineage: Bacteria; Bacillati; Bacillota; Bacilli; Lactobacillales; Enterococcaceae
Description: partial 23S ribosomal RNA
Rfam family: Bacterial large subunit ribosomal RNA
Source: RNAcentral
AAUGGGGGAACCCAACAUCUUUAAUAGGAUGUUACGAUUGUGUGAAUACAUAGCACAUUCGAGGUAGACGCAGAGAACUGAAACAUCUAAGUACCUGCAGGAAGAGAAAGAAAAUUCGAUUCCCUGAGUAGCGGCGAGCGAAACGGGAAAAGCCCAAACCAGCAAGCUUGCUUGUUGGGGUUGUAGGACUCCAAUAUGGUAGUUCUUUCAGAUAGUCGAAUGACUUGGAAAAGUCAGUCAAAGAGGGUAAAAACCCCGUAGACGAAAUGUGGAAGACACCUAGGAGGAUCCUGAGUACGGCGGAACACGAGAAAUUCCGUCGGAAUCCGGGAGGACCAUCUCCCAAGGCUAAAUACUCCCUAGUGACCGAUAGUGAACCAGUACCGUGAGGGAAAGGUGAAAAGCACCCCGGAAGGGGAGUGAAAUAGAACCUGAAACCGUGUGCCUACAACAAGUCAAAGCCCGUUAAUGGGUGAUGGCGUGCCUUUUGUAGAAUGAACCGGCGAGUUACGAUUGCAUGCGAGGUUAAGUUGAAGAGACGGAGCCGCAGCGAAAGCGAGUCUGAAUAGGGCGUUUGAGUAUGUAGUCGUAGACCCGAAACCAUGUGAUCUACCCAUGUCCAGGUUGAAGGUGCGGUAAAACGCACUGGAGGACCGAACCCACGUACGUUGAAAAGUGCGGGGAUGAGGUGUGGGUAGCGGAGAAAUUCCAAACGAACUUGGAGAUAGCUGGUUCUCUCCGAAAUAGCUUUAGGGCUAGCCUCGGAAUUGAGAAUGAUGGAGGUAGAGCACUGUUUGGACUAGGGGCCCAUCUCGGGUUACCGAAUUCAGAUAAACUCCGAAUGCCAUUCAUUCAUAUCCGGGAGUCAGACUGUGAGUGAUAAGAUCCAUAGUCGAAAGGGAAACAGCCCAGACCACCAGCUAAGGUCCCAAAAUAUAUGUUAAGUGGAAAAGGAUGUGGGGUUGCACAGACAACUAGG